AUGGAAAAUAGAAAUACUUUUUCUUGGGUAAAGGAACAGAUAACUCGAUCGAUUUCUGUAGCGAUCAUGAUAUACGUAAUAACUCGGACAUCUAUUUCAAAUGCAUAUCCCAUUUUUGCGCAGCAGGGUUAUGAAAACCCACGAGAAGCAACUGGACGAAUUGUAUGUGCCAAUUGCCAUUUAGCUAGCAAGCCCGUCGAUAUUGAAGUUCCCCAAGCUGUGCUUCCCGAUACUGUAUUUGAAGCAGUUCUUCGAAUUCCUUAUGAUAUGCAAUUGAAACAAGUUCUUGCUAAUGGAAAA
Molecule: ribosomal RNA, 300 nt
Filed under: Triticum aestivum (bread wheat)
Lineage: Eukaryota; Viridiplantae; Streptophyta; Magnoliopsida; Poales; Poaceae
Description: partial small subunit ribosomal RNA
Source: RNAcentral